AUUGAACGCUGGCGGCAUGCUUUACACAUGCAAGUCGAACGGUAACAGGCCUUCGGGUGCUGACGAGUGGCGAACGGGUGAGUAAUGCAUCGGAACGUGCCCAGAGGUGGGGGAUAACGCAGCGAAAGCUGUGCUAAUACCGCAUGUGAUCUGAGGAUGAAAGCGGGGGACCAGGCAGCAAUGUUUGGCCUCGCGCCUUUGGAGCGGCCGAUGUCAGAUUAGGUAGUUGGUGGGGUAAAGGCCUACCAAGCCGACGAUCUGUAGCUAGUCUGAGAGGACGACCAGCCACACUGGGACUGAGACACGGCCCAGACUCCUACGGGAGGCAGCAGUGGGGAAUUUUGGACAAUGGGCGCAAGCCUGAUCCAGCAAUGCCGCGUGCGGGAAGAAGGCCUUCGGGUUGUAAACCGCUUUUGUACGGAACGAAAAGGCUCUGGCUAAUACCUGGGGCUGAUGACGGUACCGUAAGAAUAAGCACCGGCUAACUACGUG
Molecule: ribosomal RNA, 492 nt
Filed under: uncultured bacterium
Lineage: Bacteria
Description: partial 16S ribosomal RNA
Rfam family: Bacterial small subunit ribosomal RNA
Source: RNAcentral